AGUGAACGCUGGCGGUAGGCCUAACACAUGCAAGUCGAACGGCAGCACAGUAAGAGCUUGCUCUUACGGGUGGCGAGUGGCGGACGGGUGAGGAAUACAUCGGAAUCUACUUUUUCGUGGGGGAUAACGUAGGGACACUUACGCUAAUACCGCAUACGACCUACGGGUGAAAGCAGGGGAUCUUCGGACCUUGCGCGAUUGAAUGAGCCGAGGUCGGAUUAGCUAGUUGGCGGGGUAAAGGCCCACCAAGGCGACGAUCCGUAGCUGGUCUGAGAGGAUGAUCAGCCACACUGGAACUGAGACACGGUCCAGACUCCUACGGGAGGCAGCAGUGGGGAAUAUUGGACAAUGGGCGCAAGCCUGAUCCAGCCAUACCGCGUGGGUGAAGAAGGCCUUCGGGUUGUAAAGCCCUUUUGGUGGGAAAGAAAAGCAGCAGGUUAAUACCCCGCUGUUCUGACGGUACCCAAAGAAUAAGCACCGGCUAACUUCGUG
RNAcentral lists this ribosomal RNA (492 nucleotides) under uncultured bacterium. Its description in RNAcentral is "partial 16S ribosomal RNA". It matches the Rfam family "Bacterial small subunit ribosomal RNA", at positions 29 to 507 of the family's 1533-position model. The record is from RNAcentral.